UUGGAGGGCAAGUCUGGUGCCAGCAGCCGCGGUAAUUCCAGCUCCAAUAGCGUAUAUUAAAGUUGUUGCAGUUAAAAAGCCCGUAGUUGAAUUUCGGGGUCAGUAGGCUGGUCGUGCCUCAGGUACGUACUGGUCUUACUGAUUCCUCCUUCCUGACGAACCGUAAUGCCAUUAAUUUGGUGUUGCGGGGAAUCUGGACUGUUACUUUGAAAAAAUUAGAGUGUUUAAAGCAGGCUAACGCUUGAAUACAUUAGCAUGGAAUAAUGAAAUAGGACGAUCGAUCCUAUUUUGUUGGUUUCUAGGAUUGACGUAAUGAUUAAUAGGGAUAGUUGGGGGCAUUAGUAUUCAAUUGUCAGAGGUGAAAUUCUUGGAUUUACUGAAGACUAACUACUGCGAAAGCAUUUGCCAAGGAUGUUUUCAUUAAUCAAGAACGAAAGUUAGGGGAUCGAAGACGAUCAGAUACCGUCGUAGUCUUAACCAUAAACUAUGCCGACUAGGGAUCGGAUGAUGUUAAUUUUUUAAUGACUCAUUCGGCGCCUUACGGGAAA
RNAcentral lists this ribosomal RNA (548 nucleotides) under uncultured Glomeromycotina. RNAcentral describes it as "SSU rRNA". It matches the Rfam family "Eukaryotic small subunit ribosomal RNA", at positions 548 to 1097 of the family's 1831-position model. The record is from RNAcentral. Lineage: Eukaryota; Fungi; Glomeromycota.